This 512-nucleotide ribosomal RNA is filed under the name uncultured bacterium. RNAcentral's name for it is "partial 16S ribosomal RNA". It matches the Rfam family "Bacterial small subunit ribosomal RNA", at positions 28 to 507 of the family's 1533-position model. The record is from RNAcentral.
GAUGAACGCUGGCGGCGUGCCUAAUACAUGCAAGUCGAACGAAACUUCUUUAUCACCGAGUGCUUGCACUCACCGAUAAAGAGUUGAGUGGCGAACGGGUGAGUAACACGUGGGCAACCUGCCCAAAAGAGGGGGAUAACACUUGGAAACAGGUGCUAAUACCGCAUAACCAUAGUUACCGCAUGGUAACUAUGUAAAAGGUGGCUAUACUACCGCUUUUGGAUGGGCCCGCGGCGCAUUAGCUAGUUGGUCGGGUAAAGGCUUACCAAGGCAAUGAUGCGUAGCCGAAUUGAGAGGUUGAUCGGCCACAUUGGGACUGAGACACGGCCCAAACUCCUACGGGAGGCAGCAGUAGGGAAUCUUCCACAAUGGGCGAAAGCCUGAUGGAGCAACGCCGCGUGGGUGAAGAAGGUCUUCGGAUCGUAGAACCCUGUUGUUAGAGAAGAAAGUGCGUGAGAGUAACUGUUCACGUUUCGACGGUAUCUAACCAGAAAGCCACGGCUAACUACGUG